RNAcentral lists this long non-coding RNA (1172 nucleotides) under Sus scrofa (pig). RNAcentral's name for it is "lncRNA (ENSSSCG00050052238.1)". The record is from RNAcentral. Lineage: Eukaryota; Metazoa; Chordata; Mammalia; Artiodactyla; Suidae.
CAACAUUUGAGGAAGAUAUUAAACUUUGAAACUUGGGUCUUCAGUCUGGAAGUCAGCAUUUUCAGGAACCUGCUGUGCCUCCUUGAACUUCAGAAAUCCUGGCUUGGUGCUAAGGCCAGUUUCUGCUAAUAUUUGCUUGAGAAUAUCGUGUCUGAUUCCUGGCUCCCUCCAGUUUGCAAGUCUCCAGGGAAGCUGCCUGUUUGCUAGCCGAGGAGAAGGGGAGGGUAUGCCUAUGCCGUCUGAGCAUCAACCUCAAGGAGGUGCCAGGACUGACCUGAGUUCCUGGGAACCAUUCUGGGCAUGAGGAUUUACUAGGGCUUGGACCUCAUCCACCAUUGUAGCCAGAGGCCCAGAAUCAAAUUAGAUAAUGGAGACCGGAUCCAGCUUGCCCGAGGGUUUGGCAAGAAGGCAAGUGUUUGUGUGCCUGCUGGUGCUUCGCGUUGGCUUUGUGCCUGCUACAGAGAAACUCCAAGGUUGCUCUUCAUUAACGUGCGUGCAAUUGCUGUACCUCCAUCCAAAUGACGUGGUCCAGUGCCCUGGAUGGUGCAGGCAUCUCUUUAAUUGCCUAAUAAGAUCUAUGGUGAAACUAUGACUUGCCUGACCAGUCUUCUGUUUACGGAAAAGGUUAAAAAAUGAUCUAAGAACACUGUUUUGGAAAGGAACCAACUCUUACUUCAUCGGGAGUCAAAGCAAAAGGAAGAAUCCAGAAGUAUCAGUUGAAGGUAGUGAGUGGGAGUGUGUGUGUGUGUGGGAGUGUGUGUGUGUGUGUGUGGCGGGGGCACAGGGCAGGGGUGUGUUCAUAACUGAUCUGAAGGAAAACAAUUGGGAAGGGUAAAGGCCACUGAGUUUGGUUUUUGAACAGCUUGGCCUGUUUUGUGUCAGUAGACAACCUCUGAGAUUAUAUGCAAAAUCUUUCUAAACCAGGGCUAUUAUGACAUAACUGUUACCCAACCAAAUGGCAAUAUUUGCAAUAUCAGCAUGGAGCAUCCCACCUCCCAUUAUCCAACUAUCUAAAAUGCUAUUCAUUUUCCUUGGUGAGACCUUUUCUGAUUCCUCAAAUCAGAAUGUUUUGUCCUUUCAUUCGACUCCCCACAAUAUGUUGCUUGUCUACUCACCGUAGCAUUUUAUGAGGCAUAAUUUACAUACAAUAAAAUUCACUCUUUUAAAGUGCA